Molecule: small RNA, 79 nt
Filed under: Flavobacterium glaciei
Lineage: Bacteria; Pseudomonadati; Bacteroidota; Flavobacteriia; Flavobacteriales; Flavobacteriaceae
Description: Flavo-1 RNA
Source: RNAcentral
UUUUAUACUUGACAGGAAUGGAAAUUUUUUCUUUUUUUCUUUAAAAAAGAAAAGAUUGAAGUGAACAGCUGAAAACAGC